Molecule: long non-coding RNA, 739 nt
Filed under: Cricetulus griseus (Chinese hamster)
Lineage: Eukaryota; Metazoa; Chordata; Mammalia; Rodentia; Cricetidae
Description: lncRNA (ENSCGRG00015043046.1)
Source: RNAcentral
AAGCAUGGUAACUGUCACUUUCUCCUUCAUAACUUUUUCCUCACAAGCCUUCCAAGAAUACACUGAAGUUGUGGUAUCUUCCCAUCCAAGAGUGAGCAGGACCCCAUGUGGUGCUGGAGACAGAUGAGAGGAGCUUGAAAGAAGGAAGCCGUGGGAAUGCCUGGCCAAGGCAUUUGACCAACAGUGACUUGAGAGCUGUGGGACCCUCACGAGAUGCCGCAGAUAGAAUACCUGACCAAAACCACUUACAGAUGGUAGAGUUUAUUUUACUUUGGCUCAUAUAUCAUUGGCAUGAAGUCAUGGCAUCAGGAAUGUGCGACAACUGGUUCCACUUCACCUACCAGCAAGAAGCAUAGAGAGGAGAUUACAGUUAAUAGAGUACAUGAAUCUCAGAAGAGACUUUGAACUUUAGACCUUUAAAUAAAGUUGUAGAACUCUCAGCUCCUUCUCCAGCACCAUGUCUGCCUUCACACCACUAUGUCCUGCCAUGAUGAUAAUGGACUAAAUCUCUGAAAAUUUUGUCUCAUAGCACACAGAACUACCAGCCCAACAUGACUGCCUAAACAUGAGAAGAACAAGGACAACAACAACAGACAUGCUAAUGUGGACAGAUAAAGCCCACGAGGCCUCCAUCCUACACGAAGAACUGCAGGUAACCAAGGAACACUGAGAGUGGGAGAAAUAUUCUUCCUUGGGGAACAGCACACUGAUUGGUUAUCCGACACCAAAUGGUCAGCCC